GCCUAGGAUGCGAAAAAUAUCAGCAGAGAUAUGAAUGCAGAAAAGGAAAGAAAUUAUUUUUGGAUAUUUUUUAGAGAGAAAAAGUUUGGAUUAAAAUCAUCCAUUCAUUCUCCCAUGCUCUUCUAAUCUCAUCCAUCCAUCUCUUAGCCCUUGUUCCUUUCAUUAGUCCUACAUCUGAAACAAACAAAAGCCUCUCCCCU
Molecule: long non-coding RNA, 200 nt
Filed under: Elaeis guineensis (African oil palm)
Lineage: Eukaryota; Viridiplantae; Streptophyta; Magnoliopsida; Arecales; Arecaceae
Description: long non-coding RNA (EGUI_LNC050589)
Source: RNAcentral